This 1047-nucleotide ribosomal RNA is filed under the name fungal endophyte. RNAcentral describes it as "eukaryotic LSU rRNA". The stretch from base 452 to 1047 matches the Rfam family "Eukaryotic large subunit ribosomal RNA", at positions 1 to 598 of the family's 3401-position model. The record is from RNAcentral. Lineage: Eukaryota; Fungi.
GAACGGCGCAGCCGGUUCUCAAACCACUGUGUACCAAACCCUUCGUUGCCUCCGGCCCCCGCGGCCGGCGGGCCAGCACCAAAACAUUCUGUCGAGAUGGCAUCGUCUGACUACGAGAAACAAAAUAGAAGUACAACUUUCAACAAUGGAUCUCUUGGCUCCGGCAUCGAUGAAGAACGCAGCGAAAUGCGAUAGCUAGUGUGAAUUGCAGAUUUCAGUGAAUCAUCGAGUUUUUGAACGCACAUUGCGCCUCUUGGUAUUCCUCGAGGCAUGCCUGUUCGAGCGUCGUUACGCCCCUCAAGCGCGAGCUUGGUGUUGGGGAUCGCCCCUGAGAUACGGCGGCGGCCCUUAAAUGCAUCGGCGGAGCUGGUUGCCAGCCCGGAGCGCAGCAGACAUGCGGCUCCCGGGCGGCCUGGCCCCCGCCGGACAACCCCCCCCUUCUUACAAACGUCGACCUCGAAUCAGGUAGGGAUACCCGCUGAACUUAAGCAUAUCAAUAAGCGGAGGAAAAGAAACCAACAGGGAUUGCCUCAGUAACGGCGAGUGAAGCGGCAACAGCUCAAAUUUGAAAUCUGGCGCCUCUGGCGUCCGAGUUGUAAUUUGCAGAGGAUGCUUCGGCGUUGGCGCCGCCCAAAGUUCCUUGGAACGGGACGUCGCAGAGGGUGAGAGCCCCGUGUUCGGGCGGAUGCCUUCGCCAUGUGAAGCUCCUUCGACGAGUCGAGUUGUUUGGGAAUGCAGCUCAAAACGGGAGGUAAAUUUCUUCCAAAGCUAAAUACCGGCCGGAGACCGAUAGUGCACAAGUAGAGUGAUCGAAAGAUGAAAAGCACUUUGGAAAGAGAGUCAAACAGCGCGUGAAAUUGUUGAAAGGGAAGCGCUUGCGGUCAGAACUUGGCCGCCGUUGCUCGGGGGGGCCUCGCGCCCCCCUCGCUCUUCGGCGGCUGGGCCAGCAUCGGUUCGGGCGGCUCGAGAAAGGCCGCGGGAACGUGGCUCCCUCCGGGGAGUGUUAUAGCCCGCGGCGCAAUAGGGCCCGCCUGGAUCGAGGUCUGC